CAGGGCCCACCAUGGGUGUUGACGGCUUCAUGAUGGUAAGAAGAGAACCCCCAGUCAUCCAGCUGGCGUGGCAGCCAAAGAGAAACACUUAAUCGGAUGGAGAUGCUCCACCAUGUGAAGAUGUGCUGGCUUCCCCUUCACCUUCUGCCAUGAUUGUAAGUUUCCUGAGGCCUCCCAGCCAUGCCUCCUAUACAGCCUGCAAAACUGGUCAAGCCAUCUGUAAGUGAGGAACCUGUCACAGUCUCUCUCUCAAACAAUCUACAAGCAAGACUGAAAACAGAUUUCUAGAGAUGAUGAGAAGAAGAUGAUGAGAAGACCUUGGGGGCAGUUGCGAAUUCAUAACAUUUUGAAUGGAAAGAGCAUUGGAGAUCUUCUGUCUCCAGUCUUGUGAUGGUAGAUGCCAGAAGGACUGUCACCCCAGCUGUGACAACCAAAAAUGCCUGCAGACUUUGCCAAAUCUUCCUUAGGGAAGGCAAAAUAGCCUGCAGUUGAAAACCACUGGGACAGAUCAGAGCAUCCCCUAGGGUAUGUCCCUUUACUCUGAGCAUUGUUUCUCUUUCUUUCUUUCUUUUCUUUCUUUCCUUUCUUUCUUUCUUUUUCUUUCUUUCCCUCCCUCCCUCUCUUUCUUUCUUUCCUUUCUUUCUUUUUUCUUCUUUUUCUGUUUUUUUCUUUUUCUUUCUUUCUCUUUCUUUCUUUCUUUUGAAAGGCUACAUAAUAUCUAUUCUUUGUUAAUGGAAAUUCGGGUUGCUUAUAAUUUUUUAACAUUUAUUUUAAGUUCAAGGGUACAUGUGCAGGCUUCUUAUGUAGGUAAACUUAUGUCAUGGGGGUUUGUUGUACAGAUUAUUUCAUCACCCAAAUAUUAAGCCUAGUGCCGAUUAGUUAUUUUUAUUUUUCCUGUUCCUCUCCCCACUUCCCCCUCCACCCUCCAUUGGGCCCCAGUGUGUGUUGUUUCCCUCCAUGUUAUUACUGCCAUUUCUUAACUCUGUCUUUCAUGGGUCCCCAAUGGGCUGGUUGGUUGAUGUAAUCUUUGCUUCAGAGCUGCAAAGUGUGUCUAUUAUCACUCGUUCCAUUUGAAUCUUACAGUAGUAACAGAUAUAGGUUACAGUGCAGAGACCAAUUAACUAGUCAAUUAGAUAGCACCUGGUAUCUAACUGACUAGUUAGGCAGUCUCUUCAUUGUAAACUAUAUCUGUUACUUUUCAAUGGCAAGAACCACAACUACUUUUGCACCAACCUAAUAUUUUUAGGUCCAAAAGCUCAACUGUGAGACCCACAGAUGCCUCGUCUGCAAAUGACCAGACUCUUUGGGGUUUGAUGUAGAAACCAGACGUCAGUAUGUUCACGUGUAAUGAGGAGUAAAACUUUCCAUACCCCAGCACUAAGUGCUUAUUAAUAAGCAAAAUUAAAAAUCAGAAAUCUGUUUAAUAAAUACUGAGUUGAAGAGG
This 1444-nucleotide long non-coding RNA is filed under the name Homo sapiens (human). RNAcentral's name for it is "HSALNT0227344". Lineage: Eukaryota; Metazoa; Chordata; Mammalia; Primates; Hominidae. The record is from RNAcentral.